Vitis riparia (riverbank grape) is the source of this 1449-nucleotide RNA transcript. RefSeq lists it as uncharacterized. NCBI's taxonomy places the organism in Eukaryota, Viridiplantae, Streptophyta, Magnoliopsida, Vitales, Vitaceae. The transcript has 7 exons. The record is from RefSeq and is a predicted model, not a curated record.
CCUCUCAUUAUAGCGUUUAUCCUUUCAUUUAUUUUUUUUAUUUUUUUUCAAUUUUUUUAAUGUCUUGUCUGCCGCUGACUCUUCAUUUCCUCUCUAGGUCUUUCCGGAAUCUCUGGAAUCUCCUGAAAUCUUCUUCACGAGUAUGGUUAGUACUAUGUGAUCAUGAAGGAACGAAGGGGACGGAUAGGGGUUUUUUAGGCAUUAUGAUUUCAUGCUUGGAAGAUGUUGGAUUUACUGCCAGUGGCGUUUUGGAUAUCCUUUUUAGAUUUGAGGCUAGGAAAGACUUUGAGUUAGUGAAUGUUCUCUUGCUGCUUCGAAGAUGAAUAAGGGGGCUUGAUCUCUUUGAGGAUCAUUAGUUCAAGCAGUGGCAUGUAAUUGCUUGACAACGAGAGAGAGCACGCUAGUCAGCAUUCAUGCGAGGAACAUGACUGUGUACAGGCGUGCUCUCUGUCGCUGUCAUACAAUCUUCUCAUCAAGGCUGUCUUACAUAUUCACCUUGUUCGUGAGCGUUGGACCUCAAGGCAUACAGACUAGCAGAUUCUUGCAGGAUCAUCUUGAGACAGAAUGGUUCAGAUGAGCCUUGAAAUUUAAUCUUGAAGUUAAGCAGGGCUUUCAUUUGGCAUGUGCCUUGCAAGCAUUAGCAUAGUCAAAAGUAGGCUUUGCAGCUAGCAUAUGCAGAGGGGAGUUUCCAUCAUAACAGAAUCCAUGAGACCAUCCAGCCUAUCAAUAAUUUGUAACGCCAGAUCUGUGGAGCACAACUAUUGUGAUGAGGUCACAUUACAGGUGAGUAGUACUAUCGAUUCUAUUGAUAUGUGAUUUAUAUUAUAAGAAGCAAGACACCUAAGGCAUCUACCAUGGACUAUGGAGAAGAGUCCAACCCCUUACCCAAGUGUCCUCCUUCAAUGGCACUGUGAAGAGCAGUGCCACCAAGCCUGGCAUGGGAGUAGUCAUGGGCUUGGGCGAGGCUGUCUCACAUUUCAUAGACCGAAAGGGAAGUGUCUUUAUCACCUAGGAAAGCAUCCAAGAAAAGAGGUGAUAUAUAUUGGAUUGUCUAUUUUCCACUGCUAACAACACUAUGUUCUUGUCCUCCUGAUCCCUGUCAAGAAUGGUCAUAGGAAAAACUUGUAGGAUUUUUUCUACCAUUUCCACAAUACCGUUCCUUGCUGCAACAAGCAUUGGUGCCUCAUCAGCUGCAAGGAGAACAAAACUCAUUCUUCGGCCUCUCCUUAAUAUUACUUUCCACCAGAUCUGCCUCUCCUUAAUAUUAGUUACAGAUGGAGCAAGUGGUUGAAUAACUUUUCUUCACAUUUAUGUAUACAAACCUACGAAUUUAUGUAUACAAACCUACGAAUUUAUUUGUAAGAAACAGAGUUGACAAAGAAGUUCCUUCCCUUCUUCUGAAGUAUCCAUAUUAUGAAUAACAAUAUCGACCUGUCUCAUCGUUUUCAA